Molecule: unclassified non-coding RNA, 432 nt
Filed under: soil metagenome
Description: partial contains 5.8S ribosomal RNA, internal transcribed spacer 2, and large subunit ribosomal RNA
Rfam family: 5.8S ribosomal RNA (bases 1-120)
Source: RNAcentral
GAUGAAGAACGCAGCGAAAUGCGAUACGUAAUGUGAAUUGCAGAAUUCAGUGAAUCAUCGAAUCUUUGAACGCAUAUUGCGCUCUCUGGUAUUCCGGAGAGCAUGCUUGUUUGAGUAUCAGUAAACACCUCAACUUCCAUAUCUUUUUUGAAAUGGGAGUUGGACUUGAGUGAUCCCAACGCUUUUCCUCACCGAAAAGUGGCGGGUUACUUGAAAUGCAGGUGCAGCUGGACUUUUCUCUGAGCUAUAAGCAUAUCUAUUUAGUCUGCCUAAAAAACAGAUUAUUACCUUUGCUGCAGCUAACAUAAAGGAGAUUAGUUCUUGUGCUGACUGAUGCAGGAUUCACAAAGACAGGCUUCGGCCGACUUUGUAAACUCGAUCUCAAAUCAAGUAAGACUACCCGCUGAACUUAAGCAUAUCAAUAAGGGAGGA